GACGUACGCUGGCGGCGUGCCUAAUACAUGCAAGUAGAACGCUGAAGAGAGGAGCUUGCUCUUCUUGGAUGAGUUGCGAACGGGUGAGUAACGCGUAGGUAACCUGCCUGGUAGCGGGGGAUAACUAUUGGAAACGAUAGCUAAUACCGCAUAAUAGUAGAUGUUGCAUGACAUUUGCUUAAAAGGUGCAAUUGCAUCACUACCAGAUGGACCUGCGUUGUAUUAGCUAGUUGGUGAGGUAACGGCUCACCAAGGCAACGAUACAUAGCCGACCUGAGAGGGUGAUCGGCCACACUGGGACUGAGACACGGCCCAGACUCCUACGGGAGGCAGCAGUAGGGAAUCUUCGGCAAUGGACGGAAGUCUGACCGAGCAACGCCGCGUGAGUGAAGAAGGUUUUCGGAUCGUAAAGCUACUGUUGUAAGAGAAGAAAGCAGUGUGAGAGUGGAAACGUUACUACACUAGUGACCGGAUUCCUAUAUCCAGAAC
This 489-nucleotide ribosomal RNA is filed under the name Streptococcus sp. oral taxon 064. RNAcentral describes it as "bacterial SSU rRNA". It matches the Rfam family "Bacterial small subunit ribosomal RNA", at positions 28 to 493 of the family's 1533-position model. The record is from RNAcentral. Lineage: Bacteria; Bacillati; Bacillota; Bacilli; Lactobacillales; Streptococcaceae.